GCGGCCCGUUCCCGCAGGCGCGCCGCGGGCAGCCGCAACCCCAAAAACUCCCCAAAAACUCCCCAAAACCCCCCGCCGGAGCCCGCGGCAGCACGGCGGCCGCCCCGCCCCGCCCCGCCCCGCCCGCUGCCAGGCAGGGCCCGGCGCUCCGAGCAAGCGGGGAGCCGGCGGCCUCAGCACUUCCCGCUGGAGGCGAGGACUGAGCUCCACGGUGCCUGCGUCCCUGCUUGCGUGCCUCUGCCCGGGUGCUGCUGCGGAGAUCCCCCAGGUCACAAGGUAACGAGAAUAAAUUUGCUCUUUGCAUUUCAUCUGUAGUUUUGUGAUUGUUCCUGUGUGAGGUAACGAGAAUAAAUUUGCUCUUUGCAUUUUAUCUGUAGUUUUGUGAUUGUUCCUGCAUCCUGCCUGUGUCAGCUCACACAUUUGGUGUAGUCAGCAGGAUCCAGGAACAGCCAUGCUAUGGCUAAAAGAGAAGUUGGGGACUGGGGAGGCCGUGAUGGCGAAUCCCCUUAUUCCGGGAUGCUCCCGUACUGAGAACUGGAUCCCCGUGGCUGCUAUCCUGGCUGAAGUGGCUCCACCAGAAGCCUGGCCUGACAUAAAUAACUGGUCAGUGGUUACUGCCAGACGAUUGCAACAGCUAUAUGCAGAUUGCCAGGGAAAGCAGCAUCAGAUUCUUCUCGCAAGUUAGUGGAGGCUGGGAUAGUUACCAGUCUGAGAGCUCUUGACCAUGAAGUUGUUGCAUUACAGAGUAAAGUGAGAGACUUGGAGAAGGAAAUUGGGACUUUACAGGAUACAAAGGUGAUCACGCGAGAAGUAAUUACUGUUCAGGCAGAGCAGUGCUAUGAGCUGCAAGAUAACAUCAGGCUGUUGGUAGCAUGUAUCACUAAUAUACAAAGGGACAAAUACAGGAAAAGUAAAGUUUUGAUUUCCCAAAUCCGUGGUCUUACCACAAAAUGGUCAUGGGAUCCCAAAGAAUGGGAUAGAAAUACUCAAAGUGAAUCCUCAUACUCUGAGACUGAGUUCAAAUUCAAGUCAGACAGGGUAUCAGCAAAGAGAAAUAUCAAAAUGCAGUUUUUGAGAGGAGUGCCUACCUCACUAAAACCCUUGAUUAUACCAGUAGUGACAAAUGCUAGAGGUAAUGUAGGUGGCCUAGCAGAUAUCUUGAGAGAGAUUUGGACUGUAAUUUCGGCGCUGUUUAUUCAGGUGGUGAGUAAAAUCAGUAAAACCGAAAGGAUCCACAAUGUGGGUGACAAGGAAACAAAUGCGGAAAGGUAUUGUACAAGUUGAUAUCCCACAAUCAGGAACAGAUGGGAUCAGGACAUCAGAAGUGUUCCACUGACAGCAAAAGUUAGCAUUCAUGCAAAAAAGCUCAUCACCCCCUAGCUCCACCACGAACUCCACACCCACGCUCCACCCCUCCUGCCACCUCAAGGCAAGGCACUACCUGGCAAACACCAAAAAAAGUACAAAUUAAGGUUUGGCAGGUCCCCCAGAAUUGCCGCUACUGCAGCCUCUUACCAUGAGGUGGAUCAAUGCCCGUAUGUUCCUCUAACUAUAAAGUGGUGGUCUGGGGGGAUUUUACAUGUAUUAGCUACAGCAGGAGCCACAGGUUACUGUAUUACAUAGUAAUAUUGAUAAUGAAGAAGCCCCAUCACGGAUCUGGGGGGAACCCACCCCUGCCCUCCAAGCUAAGGUUACCUUAACAAUAGGGAACGCCGCGCCAUUUACUGCAGUGGUGUUAACUGCCCCAAUUAAAGAAUAUAUCUUGGGUGUGGAUGUGCUGGCAGGACAAACAGUUGAAACUUUAAAUGGUCACUUCUGCUUCAGGACUUCACGAGUGGGAUUUGUUAUUCAAUCUAUAACCAUCUUGCAUGGAUUCCUGAAGUGGGAUCCUGUUGUGCUGCCAGUGCCUGGCAAAGUGGUAACUGUAAAACAGUACCUUAUUCAGGGCGGCAGGGAGCAGGGAAGGAAGAGGAAAAAAAAAAAAGCACUCAAAACCAUUUAGGCACUUCAACAAAUGGGAAUUGUUAAAGAAACUGUGACUGCUUUUAAUGAUCCUAUUUGGCCUGUUCGUAAACCAGACGGCACUUGGAGAAUGACUGUAGAUUACAGAGAACUGAAUCAAGUCACACCCCCACACUUGUAGUUAUGGUGCCAGACAUGGUUACUCUUCUAGAAAAAAAUUAGCAAAAAUCUGCAACCCUGGAAAGUGGUGAUAGACCCUGCUAAUGCUUUUUUUUUUUUUUUUUUCAAUAGCUAUUGCUUCAGAAAGUCAAGACCAGUUUGCCUUUACCUGGCAACAAAAGCAAUAUACCUUCCAAAUAUUGCCUCAGGGAUACACACGCAGUCCCUCCUUUUGCCACCAAAUUACAGCAGCUGAUGUGGCACUAUGGCCUGGUACCCUGACUGUUUACUAUUACACUGAUGAUUUGCUGAUUAUGUCAGAAUCACAACAAGAAAUUUAAGUAGCUGUUGAAUGGCUGAAAGCACAUUUAAAGGACCAAGGCUAGGCAAUUAAUCCCAAGAAGAUACAGGGCUCUAAGUACUACUGUACAAUUCUGGGGAAUAGUUUGGUAUAGACAGAUUAGAGAAAUACCAAAUAUGGUACAGCAAACAGUCCAGCAAUUUCCUGUGUCAACCACAGUAAAACAGUUACAGACUUCUGGGGGAUUUUUAGGGUAGUGGAGAAAUUUUACCUCGCCUCCAGUGGUAUUAAUGCACCCUCUGCAGAAAUUAACUAAGAAGGUUGUUUGGCAGUGGACCAAGCAACAACAAGAAGCCUUUGAUGCCUACAAAAGUUUUUGAUAGAGCAUGAGCGAUUAUACACUCCUAGGUGAGGACAUCCUUUUGAAGCAGAAACAAUUCCAGAUGAUAUAGUCUCAGGAGGAUUGUGGCACAUGACUGUGCCAAAAAAUGAGAAAGAACCUAUUAGCCUAGAUAUGAAGAUUCAUAUAACCACUCCUGAGAAUACUGUGUAGUUUUGUACCUCAACUUCUCUUACUUUACAUCCUUUGUUGAUAUCAGAUUCUCAAGUUCCUGUAUUUCAGGUAUCUUCGAUGAAUACUUGUGCCUUGCCUAGAGGAGACAGCAUUAGAAUGGUGCUCCUGGUGUCAUGAACCCAACAUCAAAUUGAAGCUCAAUCUGAAAAAGCACAAGAUAUAAUUCUCCAAUCUGUGUGGGCAAUUACCCCACAUCAGGUUAUUAAACCCAGAAUAACUUUAACUAAAGGAGCUGGAGCAAUAGUGUCUGUAUUACUAGAAGGAGAUGACACUCUGUUUUCCUUCCCUAUCACAGGUUGGCUCAUCAUGCUUUACAGUCUUACACUACAGGCACACACCCUGGAUAUAUUUCUACAAGAUCAGCACGUACAUGCUUAGAGUUGGUUGGCCUUUACUGCAACUGACUCACCUGCCUUUUGCGUUAAGAGAAGAUUAACGGCAGCUCUUUUGACAACAUGUCUCAUUGGCAUGCGAACCCCAGCAGCUGUGUUACAAAAUUAUACUAUGCUAAGUGAGUUUGAUAUUAAUGUUUCUCAUUGCUGUUUUUUCUGAGUAGGUUAAGGCUGUAUGCCAAUGAACAUCACAAAAUUGAUUGACAGUGGACUCUUUCCUCUUUCCACAACAUAAACACUGCUUCAAUUUUGAAGGCAUGUGUUGCUUCAACAUCACUGAUGGAUCAGCUGGCAUAGAGGACAACAUUCAACCACCCCAGGACUUAAUGCACCAAAUGAAACAACCUACUGAUGGUGCCUGGCUGGCUGAGUUGUAUAACUUUCUGAAAGGAUGAAUGGGAUGCCCAAUCCAAAAACAUUAUUGUAGAGACAUAUUUAUUCUUUUUAAAAUUAUUUUCCUUUCUUUACUCUAUGUGUUUUCUGCAUGCCUUCGCGCAUCGCUCCACCCCACAAACCCAAAUGAACACCUCCAGCUUUACCAGCCCCAGCAGAAAUAGUCUCCGAGCAAGGGGGUGGAAUGUGGGAAUACAAGGGAAGAUUGGUGAAGAGGAUUGUAAACACGCUCAAGUGACUUGCAGCUGGGGUGCUGAAAAACAAAUAUAUCACACUAAUUGCUGUUUAGUUUUGUGUGCUUGGCAGAUAGAAUGUCUGCGUUUAGAUAACGCAGGCCUGUGAGAGGCGCGGAGGCAUCCUAUCGAACAUCCUUGAGAUUCCUGCCCUGCUCUGGGAAUGAUCAAAGCACAGUGGAAAACUACACCUGCAAAAAUCCCUCAUAUAUACAGGCAAAAGCAGCAGGUCUGAGAUCUUUUCUUUCUGCUCCUCUUUGUGGCUAACAAGGACUGAGCUCCACGGUGCCUGCGUCCCUGCUUGCGUGCCUCUGCCCAGGUGCUGCUGCGGAGAUCCCCCAGGUCACAAGGUAACGAGAAUAAAUUUGCUCUUUGCAUUUCA
This is a long non-coding RNA of Tyto alba (common barn owl), 4396 nucleotides long. RefSeq lists it as uncharacterized. The transcript is spliced from 2 exons. NCBI's taxonomy places the organism in Eukaryota, Metazoa, Chordata, Aves, Strigiformes, Tytonidae. The record is from RefSeq and is a predicted model, not a curated record.